CAAGGUAUGAAAAAUUUUAACUCCCACCCCUAACUCCCAAAGCUAGGAUUCUAAGUUAAACUACUCUUUG
Molecule: transfer RNA, 70 nt
Filed under: Eleginops maclovinus (Patagonian blennie)
Lineage: Eukaryota; Metazoa; Chordata; Actinopteri; Perciformes; Eleginopidae
Description: tRNA-Pro
Source: RNAcentral